Alosa alosa (allis shad) is the source of this 74-nucleotide non-coding RNA. NCBI's taxonomy places the organism in Eukaryota, Metazoa, Chordata, Actinopteri, Clupeiformes, Clupeidae. The record is from the annotation of a RefSeq genome assembly.
GCCUUAAUAGCUUAAUUGGAUAGAGCUUCUGGUUUCUACUCAGAAGGUUUCAGGUUCGAGUCCUGAUUAAGGUG